This 3824-nucleotide long non-coding RNA is filed under the name Sus scrofa (pig). RNAcentral describes it as "lncRNA (multiple genes)". Lineage: Eukaryota; Metazoa; Chordata; Mammalia; Artiodactyla; Suidae. The record is from RNAcentral.
ACCUUUUGUUGGUGGUGCUGUUCAUUUGCAUUUAUCCCAAACUUCUCCUAAACAUAUUUGUAUUUUUAUAUGGUUUCUUGUAUCAAAUAAAGACAAAUUUAGACUUGGAUAAGAAGACACGUUUUUCAGAAAGACUACUGCAAUCAAGAGAAUAUUCCAACCUCAGGAUCUGCAAGUGUCUCAAAAUCAAACAGAAAAAAGCUUUCCUCAUACAGGGAGGGAUCAUCAUGGACACAUGGACAACAGAGAUUUUUGAGGGGAAAUUAUUCAAAGGAAUGAGAGUGAGCAGACAGCAUGUAUUUCUCACUGUGGUUUGCCCAUUUCAAUUCUAUGGAUGUGCUAUGUAUUAGAAUUCUCCAGAAAAACAAAACCAACAGGAGGUGUAUAUACAGAAAGACAACUGCCUUGUGGUUGUAGAGAAAAAUGUGAUUAAAAUUUAGUCAGGACAAAGGAGAAGGCAAGAAAUGCAUAACUGCAAGCACCUGGUCAUUUGUUUUCCUUCAAACUUCAGUUUGAUAAAUAUGUUUGUCAGAUUCCAUACAAACUAAGUAUUUGAAAUGACUAGGUUCACUAUCAGAAUUAACACUUUUAGCUUCAUCUCCCGACAUUAAAUAGGAUAAGGGCACUGGAAGCAUUCAUUGAAUUAUUAUUUUGAAGGGAAGGUAUUUCAGUAGGUUAGGUAAAGAAAUUAAAAUAUAAAGUAGGUGUUUCAAAAAGUCAAUCAAAGGGAAAGGUCUGAAGAAUUUCAAAGAUCCCACAAACCAGUAGUGACAUCAGAUGACAUAUUUCAUUAAGAAUUAGAAACGCUUUUUCAUUCAACAGUUUAUUAUGGACUGACACUGUGCAAAGCAGUGGCAAUUCAUAUAAGGUUGAACAAAGUGGAGACUCUUCCCUGAUGCUGUAGACGUUACUUUAAUAGUAGGGAGAGAGACACACGAAUCUAUCAUACAACUCCAUGUCAUUUGAGUUUCACAAAAAAGGAACUGCUUACUGUGUAGGCAUGUAUAUAAAGAUAUACUAUGCAUUUAAUACAUAUGCCAACAAAUAUUUUAUUUUUCAAGUCAGUCAAGGUAUCAAUAUGAACUCUAGUUUUUGAAUUAUAAAACUGUCCAUAAGGCUGGAAAGAAAAAAAAAACUACACUUUCUUUUAAUUAUAUAAUCUUUCAUAUUUUUCACACAGGCAUCUUUGCCUAGAAUAUUUUCCCCCCCUUAUGUUCACCAGCAAAAUCCUACUCAUCUUUCAAGAUUCAAUUCAAAUGUCACUUUCUCUGGCUCAGGCAGUUAACUGCUCCCUAAUCUCUUCCCAUAGCACUUUCCAAACAGAGGGUACUUUUUACUGCUUUAUAUAAGUUUAUUUCUUUACUCAUAUAUUUCUCCCACAAAACUCUUCUUGAGAAUAACAACCAAGCCUUUCUUAGUUUUACAAAUUAGAGCCUAGCACAGUUUUUGCUGAUAUAUAAGAAAUAUAUUGAAUGAAUGACUGAAUAAAUAGUCAUAAUCACUCGGAGUUUACAGAGCAGCCACAGUCUUGAACUUUGCUAGUCACCAUGACAGGAAAAAUAGAAAUAUUUGAAGGGUUUCAGAAGGGAAACUUGCUACAUGAGUGUCCACAAUUCACUAACAAAGCUGGUCUUAGGCCACACUGAAUCACAAAGGAGCCAAUAAAACACAAUCCUACCAUUUGCCUGGAAGAAAAGAGCCAGUAAUCAGCACUAAUGAUUACUGCACUUGACAACUAGGAAUAAAUAUGUUUCUUGAAUUCAGAAAGACAUCUUUUUCAUCACUAGAAAACAUAUGUUCAAAAGUCACAAAGGAAAUUGUAGGGAGGGAAUUAAUCAUGGGAUGCUAAUCAGUCUAAAAUCCCUGUCUUUUCUAUAGCACUGUGAAGUAAUAUCUUAAUAUUCUCAAUAUUCGUUGUUAUGCUUUUAACAAAUCUCAUUCUUCUUAUUCCAGUUCAUGUCAAUUUUUUGGCCAAUACCUUUGUUAGAAUAUUCAAAUAUAGUCUAAAGAUCCACAAAAUAUUGUUAUGGGAAUAUCACAAAGCAAGGGCAAAGCACUAAUAUUAUCAUUUGACACUGCUCUAACAAGUAGUUAACCUAUUCCUCUUUUCAUCAGAUGCUCAUUUAAAUUCCUCUAAAUUAACUGUUUAGGACAUGAUUUUCACAAAGCUGUGUUGGAAUCUGACCUACUUAAACAUGCUUUGUAAAUACAGCUGUUAACCAGGUUAGAGAAGGGUUAGUAGAUAAGAUCAUAGAAAUCAAAUCCAGAGAACACAAUUUUUAUCUUACCCCAACUAGUAGUAUCAUAUCCUAUAUUGAAUAAAUAAUUUUGCAAAAUAAUUUUAUAACUAUGGUAAUAGUAAUAGGCAGUGUGACACAAGGGGAAGAGCCCUAGUCUUGGAUCUAGAUUUGAAUUUAAUCUCAGCCCCUCUGAUUUUCACCUGUAAAAUUUUGAAAUCUCAAACUUUUCAAAGUCUCAGUUCUCUCUUCUGUAAAAUAGUGACUCUUUGAAGACUCAUUUGAAACAAUGUAUAUGAAAGACCUUUUAAAUUCUAAGACACAAAUGUCAUAUUCUUAUUAUUAGUAACAUAAAAGCAUCCCUCAAAAACCACUUAGGACGCUAGAUAUUAGGUUCCAUAAUUCUCAUCAAUAUUUGAAGAAAUAAGAAUAAAAUUAGCAUAUAACUUAUUUAAGAUCAGGCAUCAAAGAAUGAAACUAUUUUGUGCAAUAUUGUAGCAGUAGAUACAUGAUGCUACCCAUUUGUCAAAACCCAUAGAAAUACACAAUAUAAAGAGUGAAUCUUAAUAUAAGUAGAUAUUUGAAAUAUCACUGAGGAAGUCAGCAUAUUCCACAGUGAAAUGCAGAAUGUGACAAAACCAUCUGACUGUAUUGCAAAUAUACAAAACCUCGCUAAAGGAGGCGGGGAAAGGUACUUACCUCAAGAACUUUGUAAUGAGUGGAGAAUAUAAAACUAAAGGCAAAAGACCCAGCAGUGUACUCUAAUUGCUUAAGCUGUCUCCUUUAGGUGUAUAUGUUAACAAUUAUGAAAUCACAAUGCAUGUAUAACUGGGAUUGCACACACAAAUAAGUGAACUAUAGAUGGUGCAAGUCAGAUUUUUCACUGUUGGAACAGAAGGUUACAGACAAACCAAAAGGGACAGCUAGGAUCAAUCAUGUGAUACUCAAAUAGAAUUACAGACAGAAUAAGCUCAUGUUUAAAUUAAUACAAGGGUUCCCAUUGUGGCUCAGAAGAAAUUAAUCUGACUAGUAUCCAUGAGGACACAGGUUCAAUCCCUGACCUCGUUCAGUGGGUUAAGGAUCCGGUGUUGCCAUGAGCUGUGGUGUAGUUUGCAGAGGUGGCUUGGAUCCUGCAUUGCUGUGGCUGUGGUGCAGGCUGGUUGCUACAGCUUUGAUAAGAUCCCUAGCCUGGGGACCUCCACAUUCAUGGGUGCAGCCAUAAAAAGACAAAAAACGAUUAAUACAGAUACGGAUCAAUAAAUUAGAAAUAGUUACAAUACAUGCACAUACAAGGGUUGGUAUAAACAGAUAUAUUUCCAAGUUUUGUCUGUCUGCUGAGAAGACCUAGAAGCAAUGACACCCCAGUUGCAAUGAGCACACCUAGGGUCCAGAUACUAAUUUCUAUGCCAUUAUUCAAUAAAAGGAACCAGGACUCCUUGGAAAAAUGGUUGAUUCUAAGACUAGGGAAGGGAAUAUGCAAAAUGAACUUAGAGCAUCUUAUAGUGCCAGAAGGAGAGGAAAUGCACAAAAGAUAAAACAGUGGGGGUACAGUGUGGGGGGUGGGAGUGGGGCAUCCUUGGGCAUCCU